CACUCUAAGCGGUGGAUCACUCGGCUCAUGGGUCGAUGAAGAACGCAGCAAACUGUGCGUCAUCGUGUGAACUGCAGGACACAUGAACAUCGACAUUUUGAACGCAUAUGGCAGUCCAUGCUGUUUGGU
This 129-nucleotide ribosomal RNA is filed under the name Drosophila persimilis. RNAcentral's name for it is "5.8S ribosomal RNA". It matches the Rfam family "5.8S ribosomal RNA", at positions 1 to 129 of the family's 154-position model. Rfam says of the family: 5.8S ribosomal RNA (5.8S rRNA) is a component of the large subunit of the eukaryotic ribosome. It is transcribed by RNA polymerase I as part of the 45S precursor that also contains 18S and 28S rRNA. Lineage: Eukaryota; Metazoa; Arthropoda; Insecta; Diptera; Drosophilidae. The record is from RNAcentral.